CCUUGGUUCAUCUUGCUCACAUCCUUAUUUUUCUCUGCUGCUUAACUAAUUCUGAUUUCACUGACUGUCUUCUUAGGUUUCUUGAUUUUUUUUUCCGGUGAUCACUCAACAAUCAUAUGGUAUUUCUUGAUUAGUCCAAAAUGACCAAAAAGAAAAAGAAGAAGAAACAAAAUAUGGUGUGUUAUGUUGAUGGAAUUGUUAUGGGCGGACGCGGAAAACCCCCAGGUGAAAAUUAUGAUGUGGCUGAUCUUGAACGUUCUACGGUAGAAGAAUUACUCACAAGGUGUAACGACAGAGGCAACUACGGUGGCAGGAGGCAACAAAGAUGAUGGCACUGCGGCGUUACUUGAACAGACAAGUUUCAAAUUGUACGUGGGGUGUGUCGUUGUAGCCUUCCUGAGCUCAUCUUUAGCCUUGAUCCUUAUGAUGGUUUCAACUAAAUUACCAAGCCAACUAAAUAAGGAUUAUUUAAUUGUCUCCACUGUCGAUCCAGUGAUGGGACUCUUAGUUUUUCUAUUACGGGAAUGUUCAUAAACGGCCUGACCUCAUCAUCUUCACACCGUUCAGCUGAGCUAACAAAAUUUCUUACAGCUGCAUUAAUUCUCCAUUGCUGCCGCUAUAUUCAUUCAGUUCAUGUACCAGAUAAGCAAACAAUUGCAAAGAGAUGGACACGGCCAACAUGUCAAAUUUCUUUUGUUGAGUGAGGCUUUUGAAAAUCAAUUUCAUAUAUAAAAGCUGAAGAUUGUAACAAAUACUAAUAAAGAAGAAUGUGCGACCAUAAGUAUCCAA
This is a long non-coding RNA of Papaver somniferum (opium poppy), 789 nucleotides long. RefSeq lists it as uncharacterized. The transcript has 2 exons. The record is from RefSeq and is a predicted model, not a curated record. NCBI's taxonomy places the organism in Eukaryota, Viridiplantae, Streptophyta, Magnoliopsida, Ranunculales, Papaveraceae.